ACGAACGCUGGCGGCGUGCUUCACCCCUGCAAGUCGCACGGAAAGGCCCUGCUUUUGUGGGGUUCUCGAGUGGCGAACGGGUGAGUAACACGUGAGUAACCUGCCCUUGACUUUGGGAUAACUUCAGGAAACUGGGGCUAAUACCGGAUAGGAGCUCCUGCUGCAUGGUGGGGGUUGGAAAGUUUCGGCGGUUGGGGAUGGACUCGCGGCUUAUCAGCUUGUUGGUGGGGUAGUGGCUUACCAAGGCUUUGACGGGUAGCCGGCCUGAGAGGGUGACCGGCCACAUUGGGACUGAGAUACGGCCCAGACUCCUACGGGAGGCAGCAGUGGGGAAUAUUGCACAAUGGGCGGAAGCCUGAUGCAGCAACGCCGCGUGCGGGAUGACGGCCUUCGGGUUGUAAACCGCUUUCGCCUGUGACGAAGCGUGAGUGACGGUAAUGGGUAAAGAAGCACCGGCUAACUACGUG
RNAcentral lists this ribosomal RNA (467 nucleotides) under uncultured bacterium. Its description in RNAcentral is "partial 16S ribosomal RNA". It matches the Rfam family "Bacterial small subunit ribosomal RNA", at positions 29 to 507 of the family's 1533-position model. The record is from RNAcentral.